Molecule: ribosomal RNA, 243 nt
Filed under: uncultured bacterium
Lineage: Bacteria
Description: partial 16S ribosomal RNA
Rfam family: Bacterial small subunit ribosomal RNA
Source: RNAcentral
GAUCCUGGCUCAGGACGAACGCUGGCGGCGUGCCUAACACAUGCAAGUCGAACGGGGUUGUACGAGGUGCUUGCACCAUGUGCAACCUAGUGGCGGACGGGUGAGUAACGCGUGAGCAACCUGCCUUUCAGAGGGGGAUAACGAACGGGAAACCGUUGCUAAUACCGCAUAAUACCGGAUGAUGGCAUCAUUGACCGGUCAAAGGAGCAAAUCCGCUGAAAGAUGGGCUCGCGUCCCAUUAGG